This 500-nucleotide ribosomal RNA is filed under the name uncultured bacterium. RNAcentral describes it as "bacterial SSU rRNA". It matches the Rfam family "Bacterial small subunit ribosomal RNA", at positions 11 to 509 of the family's 1533-position model. The record is from RNAcentral.
GUUUGAUCCUGGCUCAGGACGAACGCUGGCGGCAUGCUUAACACAUGCAAGUCGAACGGGGCACCCAUGACUGAGGAUUCGUCCAAAUGAUUGGAAUGCCUAGUGGCGGACGGGUGAGUAACGCGUGAGCAACCUGCCUCGGAGUGGGGGACAACAGUUGGAAACGACUGCUAAUACCGCAUGACGCAUUUGGGGGGCAUCCCUUGAAUGCCAAAGAUUUAUCGCUCCGAGAUGGGCUCGCGUCUGAUUAGCUAGUUGGUGAGGUAACGGCCCACCAAGGCGACGAUCAGUAGCCGGACUGAGAGGUUGGCCGGCCACAUUGGGACUGAGAUACGGCCCAGACUCCUACGGGAGGCAGCAGUGGGGAAUAUUGGGCAAUGGGCGCAAGCCUGACCCAGCAAUGCCGCGUGAAGGAAGAAGGCUUUCGGGUUGUAAACUUCUUUUGUCAGGGAACAGUAGAAGAGGGUACCUGACGAAUAAGCUCCGGCUAACUACGUGCC